AACGAACGCUGGCGGCAGGCUUAACACAUGCAAGUCGAACGCCCCGCAAGGGGAGUGGCAGACGGGUGAGUAACGCGUGGGAACAUACCCUUUUCUACGGAAUAGCUCUGGGAAACUGGAAUUAAUACCGUAUACGCCCUACGGGGGAAAGAUUUAUCGGGGAAGGAUUGGCCCGCGUUGGAUUAGCUAGUUGGUGGGGUAAAGGCCUACCAAGGCGACGAUCCAUAGCUGGUCUGAGAGGAUGAUCAGCCACAUUGGGACUGAGACACGGCCCAAACUCCUACGGGAGGCAGCAGUGGGGAAUAUUGGACAAUGGGCGCAAGCCUGAUCCAGCCAUGCCGCGUGAGUGAUGAAGGCCUUAGGGUUGUAAAGCUCUUUCACCGAUGAAGAUAAGGACGGUAGUCGGAGAAGAAACCCCGGCUAACUUCGU
RNAcentral lists this ribosomal RNA (430 nucleotides) under uncultured bacterium. Its description in RNAcentral is "partial 16S ribosomal RNA". It matches the Rfam family "Bacterial small subunit ribosomal RNA", at positions 29 to 506 of the family's 1533-position model. The record is from RNAcentral.